Molecule: ribosomal RNA, 505 nt
Filed under: Metarhizium anisopliae
Lineage: Eukaryota; Fungi; Ascomycota; Sordariomycetes; Hypocreales; Clavicipitaceae
Description: partial 18S ribosomal RNA
Rfam family: 5.8S ribosomal RNA (bases 150-306)
Source: RNAcentral
GGAGGGAUCAUUACCGAGUUAUCCAACUCCCAACCCCUGUGAAUCAUACCUUUAAUUGUUGCUUCGGCGGGACUUCGCGCCCGCCGGGGACCCGAACCUUCUGAAUUUUUAAUAAGUAUCUUCUGAGUGGUUAAAAAAAAAUGAAUCAAAACUUUCAACAACGGAUCUCUUGGUUCUGGCAUCGAUGAAGAACGCAGCGAAAUGCGAUAAGUAAUGUGAAUUGCAGAAUUCAGUGAAUCAUCGAAUCUUUGAACGCACAUUGCGCCCGUCAGUAAUUCUGGCGCCGCCAUGCCUGUUCGAGCGUCAUUACGCCUCAAGUCCCCUGUGGACUUGGUGUUGGGGAUCGGCGAGGCUGGUUUUCCAGCACAGCCGUCCCUUAAAUUAAUUGGCGGUCUCGCCGUGGCCCUCCUCUGCGCAGUAGUAAAACACUCGCAACAGGAGCCCGGCGCGGUCCACUGCCGUAAAACCCCAACUUUUUAUAGUUGACCUCGAAUCAGGUAGGACU